Molecule: long non-coding RNA, 352 nt
Filed under: Lathyrus oleraceus (garden pea)
Lineage: Eukaryota; Viridiplantae; Streptophyta; Magnoliopsida; Fabales; Fabaceae
Description: Pisum sativum (pea) long non-coding RNA (PSAT_LNC008178)
Source: RNAcentral
AUUGUAGGAGAGAAAUUGAAGAGAUAGUUAUUUUAAAACUGGGAGAGGUAAGGGAGAAGUGGAUUUAAGAGGAGAGGGAGAGUUUGUUGCAGAAGGUGCGGGAGACUAUCUAGAAGGAGCAAGAGAAGUUGGUCGAGGAGGAGCGAAAGAAGUAAAAUGAGGAAGAGCUUGAGAAGAUGUAUGAUAAAUGUACCCACAAUGUGCUUAAGAUAUAAGUUAAAAAAUUCGGUUGUAUGUUGUUAUUACUAUUAGUUGCAUAUUUUAAUUUUUGUAUUAUAUUUCUGCUGUUUUUAUGAUACAAAAAUUGAAUUCAUUGGGGCUACGCAAUUAAACAAUUUCAAAUGCUCAAUUG